CUUAUUGGCAGACCAAUGCAUUAGAAUUAGAAUCUAACCAACC
Molecule: transfer RNA, 43 nt
Filed under: Nemesia sp. CRBAME000348
Lineage: Eukaryota; Metazoa; Arthropoda; Arachnida; Araneae; Nemesiidae
Description: tRNA-Leu
Source: RNAcentral